UGACCACAGCUCCUUCCUGCAGU
This 23-nucleotide unclassified non-coding RNA is filed under the name Mus musculus (house mouse). RNAcentral's name for it is "oocyte_clustered_small_RNA11760". Lineage: Eukaryota; Metazoa; Chordata; Mammalia; Rodentia; Muridae. The record is from RNAcentral.